ACAGUCAUAUCACAUUGAAACACCAGUUCUCAUCUGAUCAAUGAAGUUAAGCAACAUUGAACCUGGUUAGUACCUAGAUGGGUGACCACUUGGAUAUAUCAUGUGUUGUAAG
Molecule: non-coding RNA, 112 nt
Organism: Acanthosepion pharaonis
Lineage: Eukaryota; Metazoa; Mollusca; Cephalopoda; Sepiida; Sepiidae
Source: the annotation of a GenBank genome assembly